AUGACAUAUUUCAAAUUUCAAGACCAGCACCUGUAGUAUAAAAUAGGAGACUAUCUGGCUUUGGCAUCAUAAGUCAUCAUUACACUUACUGAAACCUGUUCGGUGAUAUUUAUUUUUGUUAAUUUCAAAAUAAACGUUUUUUGAAAUUAUGAAGCCAAUUGUUGCUGUUUUUUUCGCUCUAGCGGCUCUCUGUGCCACUAUCAAUUUCGUAGAAUCGACAAUUUGCGCUUAUGACCAACGUUCUGGCAAUGGCCAAAACUUUGAUAACAUUGACGCGAUGAACGCAGAAAACGCCAGAGGUGGACGUUAUCUUUUCUGGUACAACGGACCUUGCUAAAGGCUGUUAAAAACGCUCCGCUACGUUAUCAAUGUUACAACUAACUGCAAGUAAUGAAAAAAAUUAAUAGAUUAGAAAACCAAACUCGAAACUAUCAAUAGAAAUCAUGUAUUAUGUGAAAUUGUAAUAAUAAUAAACUUAAUUCUUCAAUUUCAA
This is a long non-coding RNA of Planococcus citri (citrus mealybug), 493 nucleotides long. RefSeq lists it as uncharacterized. The transcript has 4 exons. NCBI's taxonomy places the organism in Eukaryota, Metazoa, Arthropoda, Insecta, Hemiptera, Pseudococcidae. The record is from RefSeq and is a predicted model, not a curated record.